Mya arenaria is the source of this 1217-nucleotide long non-coding RNA. RefSeq lists it as uncharacterized. NCBI's taxonomy places the organism in Eukaryota, Metazoa, Mollusca, Bivalvia, Myida, Myidae. The record is from RefSeq and is a predicted model, not a curated record. The transcript is spliced from 10 exons.
UGCAUGUUUCUUCAUUUCAUACUGUCAAAACAUAACAAUAUACAAUACAUGAAUGACACCUGCAAGGCUGCGGUUCACAGUUUAACAACAAUUGGAACACUUCAGCCAUGGCCGAGUUGUAACGAUUGUAUAUAAGAGGUCUUUCUCGAAGCUUGCCGAAGAUGGUCAAGUUUUAAGCUUGGUACAAUUGUUGUCUGUGUCGGUCAAGUUUCGUUUUGUUGGAAAGAUGUUUUUGGCCAGAAUCAACGCCCUUGCAGAAAAAAAGCCACCCAGAACUACCUUCAGGCAAAUACCGCUGAAAUUGAGCUGAAUUUGUGCUAUAUGCAGUAUAUCGAUCAAUACAUAGGUAAUGGAGUGUUUGCUAGGCAAGAGCUCUUGAAGGGGCAGUUUAUUCUCGAGUACAGAGGAGAACUAUGUAAACAGCAGUCUGAUGGUGAUGAAAUGUUCAAAUACCAUUUCAGACAUAACAACAAGGAAUACUGCAUCGAUGCCUCAAAAGACACGUGUCUGGCAUGCAUGGUCAACGACUUGGACCGAUACACAAAGCCUAAUUGCAAAAUGGUUAAAGUUGUUGAUGACAGACAUCAACCAAGACUCUGUCUGUAUGAUCAGCAAAGACACUGAAUUGAGGUACGAUUAUGGUGUUGCUGAUGUACCUUGGAGAAAGCGAAAGAUGCUGUUAAAGAUGGUCAUACAGCUGCAGAUACUACAGAGGUCACAGAAACAUCUGAAGAUGCCCUCGGUGAAUCAGCAGAAGUCUUGGAACAUGCUUAUCAUGAUGCUGUAGGGAACAGUGGGACAGUUGCCCCAUCCACAGUUGCCCCAUCCACAGUUGUCUCUGAACAUGCUGAAGGGCCGCCUCAAGCAAUGUUCAAGAUUUGACCCAGGAGCAGCUACAGUAUAUGGUUGAUCAGAGUGAGAGGCAUCUGCGGAAAAUAUUUGGAGGAUAUAUUCUCUGCGAGAGACAUAUUGCAUUCAAGCAGGAAGGAAGAAGCAAAAAUGCUGUUAAGACGAUUAUACAGUUGCAGAAACAACAGAGAUCUCAGAACCAUCUCAAGAUGCUCUUGGUGCAUCAACAGAAGAUCAGAAGUGGACCAUGCUUAUCUUGAUGCUACAGGGAACAAUGGUACAGUUGCCCCAUCCACUGUCAUCUCUGAACAUGCUGAAGGGCUGCCUGAAGCCAGGAACUUUCAGCGUUUAACAAAGGAGCAAGGCCA